RNAcentral lists this transfer RNA (67 nucleotides) under Acronicta psi. RNAcentral describes it as "tRNA-Val". Lineage: Eukaryota; Metazoa; Arthropoda; Insecta; Lepidoptera; Noctuidae. The record is from RNAcentral.
CAAAUUAGAGCUUGAGAUAAAAGUAUUUCAUUUACAUUGAAAGGAUAUUAAAUAUUAAUUAAUUUGA